RNAcentral lists this ribosomal RNA (373 nucleotides) under uncultured bacterium. RNAcentral describes it as "bacterial SSU rRNA". It matches the Rfam family "Bacterial small subunit ribosomal RNA", at positions 28 to 402 of the family's 1533-position model. The record is from RNAcentral.
GGCGAACGCUGGCGGCGUGCUUAACACAUGCAAGUCGAGCGGUAAGGCCCUUUCGGGGGUACGACGAGCGGCGAACGGGUGAGUAACACGUGGGUGACCUGCCCUUAGCUCUGGGAUAAGCCUGGGAAACUGGGUCUAAUACCGGAUAUGACUCCAUAACGCAUGUUGUGGGGUGGAAAGCCUUGUGCGGCUAGGGAUGGGCCCGCGGCCUAUCAGCUUGUUGGUGGGGUGAUGGCCACCAAGGCGACGACGGGUAGCCGGCCUGAGAGGGCGACCGGCCACACUGGGACUGAGACACGGCCCAGACUCCUACGGGAGGCAGCAGUGGGGAAUCUUGCGCAAUGGGCGAAAGCCUGACGCAGCGACGCCGCGU